GAGUUUGAUCCUGGCUCAGAUUAAACGCUGGCGGCAUGCCUUACACAUGCAAGUCGAACGGCAGCGCGGGGCAACCUGGCGGCGAGUGGCGAACGGGUGAGUAACGCAUCGGAACGUGCCCUGGAAUGAGGGAUAACGUAGCGAAAGUUACGCUAAUACCGCAUAUUCUGUGCGCAGGAAAGCAGGGGAUCGCAAGACCUUGCGUUCUGGGAGCGGCCGAUGUCGGAUUAGCUAGUUGGUGGGGUAAAGGCCUACCAAGGCGACGAUCCGUAGCUGGUCUGAGAGGACGAUCAGCCACACUGGGACUGAGACACGGCCCAGACUCCUACGGGAGGCAGCAGUGGGGAAUAUUGGACAAUGGGGGAAACCCUGAUCCAGCGACGCCGCGUGGGUGAAGAAGGCCUGCGGGUUGUAAAGCCCUUUCGGUAGGGACGAAAGCUCUCGACCUAACACGUCGGGAGGUUGACUUAACCUACAAAAGAAGCACCGGCUAACUCUGUGCCAGCAGCCGCGGUAAUCA
This 520-nucleotide ribosomal RNA is filed under the name uncultured bacterium. RNAcentral's name for it is "bacterial SSU rRNA". It matches the Rfam family "Bacterial small subunit ribosomal RNA", at positions 9 to 527 of the family's 1533-position model. The record is from RNAcentral.